UUACUUAAAAUCAUCAAAAACAUUAAAACAUUUCAUGAAAACAUGGUUUUACCCAUCUAGAGGUCUCCGACAUCCGAGAUUCCACCGGACGGUAGGAAUUCCGAUACCGGAGUCUAGCCGGGUAUUACAUUCUCCCCCCCUUAAGAACAUUCGUCCCCGAAUGUUCCUCAACUAACACAUAGCAUGGCAUACACAUAUCAUACACAUAAAACACAUGAAACAUAUAAGAAACUAACCUUAGAAAAGAUAAGGGUAUUGCUGGAGCAUGGACUCCCGUGUCUCCCAAGUGCACUCUUCCAUAUUGUGGUGGUUCCAUAGGACUUUCACCAUCGGGAUUUCCUUGUUUCUCAGCUUUCUGAUCUGGGUGUCUAUGAUCCGCACUGGCUGCUCAACAUAGGUGAGAUCCUCUUGGAUCUCCACAUCAGGCUCACUAAGAACCUUGCCCGGAUCUGACACAAAUUUCCUCAACAUAGAAACAUGGAAAACCGGAUGGAUUCUUGCCAUUGAAGCAGGGAAAUCUAGC
RNAcentral lists this long non-coding RNA (523 nucleotides) under Manihot esculenta (cassava). RNAcentral describes it as "long non-coding RNA (MESC_LNC011282)". The record is from RNAcentral. Lineage: Eukaryota; Viridiplantae; Streptophyta; Magnoliopsida; Malpighiales; Euphorbiaceae.